This 429-nucleotide ribosomal RNA is filed under the name bacterium. RNAcentral's name for it is "partial 16S ribosomal RNA". It matches the Rfam family "Bacterial small subunit ribosomal RNA", at positions 355 to 776 of the family's 1533-position model. The record is from RNAcentral.
UAGGGAAUAUUGGACAAUGGGCGCAAGCCUGAUCCAGCCAUGCCGCGUGAGUGAAGAAGGCCCUCGGGUUGUAAAGCUCUUUUGUCCGGAAAGAAAAGCUUUGGGUUAAUACCCCGAAGUCCUGACGGUACCGGAAGAAUAAGCACCGGCUAACUUCGUGCCAGCAGCCGCAGUAAUACGAAGGGUGCAAGCGUUACUCGGAAUUACUGGGCGUAAAGCGUGCGUAGGUGGUUCGUUAAGUCUGAUGUGAAAGCCCUGGGCUCAACCUGGGAAUGGCAUUGGAUACUGGCGGGCUAGAGUGCGGUAGAGGGCAGUGGAAUUCCCGGUGUAGCAGUGAAAUGCGUAGAGAUCGGGAGGAACAUCUGUGGCGAAGGCGACUGCCUGGACCAGCACUGACACUGAGGCACGAAAGCGUGGGGAGCAAACAGG